UUUAUUUGACACCGUUGAUUUUUUAAGCACAUGUUUGACCGCUCGUCUCAUUCAAAAAAUUUUAAUAAUUAUUAAUUCUUUUCCUAUCAUUUGAUUCAUUGUUAAAUACAUUUUUAUGCAUAUGUAUAGUUUUACAUAUUUCACAAAAGUUUUUGAAUAAGACGAACGGUCAAACAUGUGCUAAAAAAUCAACGGUGUCAAAUAAA
Non-coding RNA from Oryza barthii, 206 nucleotides. Lineage: Eukaryota; Viridiplantae; Streptophyta; Magnoliopsida; Poales; Poaceae. The record is from Rfam.